RNAcentral lists this ribosomal RNA (39 nucleotides) under Warnstorfia fluitans. RNAcentral's name for it is "partial 25S ribosomal RNA". Lineage: Eukaryota; Viridiplantae; Streptophyta; Bryopsida; Hypnales; Calliergonaceae. The record is from RNAcentral.
CAGACCUCUAAUCGGAAAAGACUACCCGCUGANUUUAAG